GGGGGUGAAUAGGUCUCGACGAAAACGAUUGAUGUAAUGACAGCAGGUCGGAGUUAGUCGAUGGCUCCGUAAAAAUCGACUAAAAAAUAAACAACGAUGAUUUAACUUCAACACAAAACUCCAAAAUUCCUAUUUUAGGAACGCUUUUGUUAGGCUUUUUCUUAUGGAUAGAAAAAAAAUUCAAAGGCUUCAAGAAUCUUGGAGCAGUGCCAAUGGCUGCUUAAAGCAGUCACGUUUUAUCUUAAGACACCUGCUAUGAGAAUAAAACGAAAAAGAGCAGGUUAGUUUUAAACUGUUUGUAUCGUCAGUUUAAAGUGAAAUUGAAAUGAUACCGGUUUAUAACGUAAUCUUGUCUGGAGACAACGUUAUAAAUGAGAAAAAUUUCCAGACUAAACCUGUAGUGGUCUUACUGAAACAUUUUCGGACGCGGGUUCGAUUCCCGCCACCUCCAUUU
RNAcentral lists this transfer-messenger RNA (454 nucleotides) under Candidatus Endomicrobiellum mastotermitis. It matches the Rfam family "transfer-messenger RNA". From Rfam's summary of the family: Bacterial tmRNA, also known as 10Sa RNA or SsrA, is named for its dual tRNA and mRNA-like properties. Lineage: Bacteria; Pseudomonadati; Elusimicrobiota; Endomicrobiia; Endomicrobiales; Endomicrobiaceae. The record is from RNAcentral.